Clupea harengus (Atlantic herring) is the source of this 2960-nucleotide long non-coding RNA. Lineage: Eukaryota; Metazoa; Chordata; Actinopteri; Clupeiformes; Clupeidae. The record is from Ensembl.
AUGAUGAUAAGAUGUUUAAUGUUUAGAUACAUGAUGAUAAGAUGUUUCAUGAUAAGAUGUUUCAUGUUUAGAUACAUGAUAAGAUGUUUCAUGUUUAUAUACAUGAUGAUAAGAUGUUUCAUGUUUAGAUACAUGUAGUAUAUGAUAAGAUGUUUCAUGUUUAGAUACAUGUAGUAUAUGAUAAGAUGUUUCAUGUUUAGAUACAUGUAGUACAUGAUGAUAAGAUGUUUAAUGUUUAGAUACAAGUAGUAUAUGAUGAUAAGAUGUUUCAUUUUUAGAUACAUGUAGUAUAUGAUGAUUAGAUGUUUCAUUUUUAGAUACAGGUAGUAUAUGAUGAUAAGAUGAUUAAUGUUUAGAUACAUGAUGAUAAGAUGUUUAAUGUUUAGAUACAUGAUGAUAAGAUGUUUAAUGUUUAGAUACAUGUAGUAUAUGAUGAUAAGAUGUUUCAUGUUUAGAUACAUGAUGAUAAGAUGUUUCAUGUUUAGAUACAUGUAGUAUAUUAUAAGAUGUUUCAUGUUUAGAUACAUGUAGUAUAUGAUAAGAUGUUUCAUGUUUAUGAUUAUUAUGAUGUUUAUGUAUGAUGAUAAGAUGAUUCAUGUUUAGAUACAUAUAGUAUAUAUGAUGAUAAGAUGUUUCAUGUUUAGAUACAUGUAGUAUAUGAUAAGAUGUUUCAUGUUUAGAUACAUGUAGUGUAUGAUAAGAUGAUUCAUGUUUAGAUACAUGUAGUAUAUGAUGAUAAGAUGUUUCAUGUUUAGAUACAUGAUGAGAAGAUGUUUCAUGUUUAGAUACAUGUAGUAUAUGAUGAUAAGAUGUUUCAUGUUUAGAUACAUGUAGUAUAUGAUGAUUAGAUGUUUAAUGUUUAGAUACAUGAUGAUAAGUUGUUUCAUGAUAAGAUGUUUCAUGUUUAGAUACAUGAUGAUAAGAUGUUUAAUGUUUAGAUACAAGUAGUAUAUGAUGAUAAGAUGUUUCAUGUUUAGAUACAUGUAGUAUAUGAUGAUUAGAUGUUUAAUGUUUAGAUACAUGAUGAUAAGUUGUUUCAUGAUAAGAUGUUUCAUGUUUAGAUACAUGAUGAUAAGAUGUUUCAUGUUUAGAUACAUGUAGUAUAUGAUAAGAUGUUUCAUGUUUAGAUACAUGUAGUAUAUGAUGAUAAGAUGAUUCAUGUUUAGAUACAUGUAGUAUAUGAUGAUUAGAUGUUUCAUUUUUAGAUACAGGUAGUAUAUGAUGAUAAGAUGAUUAAUGUUUAGAUACAUGAUGAUAAGAUGUUUAAUGUUUAGAUACAUGAUGAUAAGAUGUUUCAUGUUUAGAUACAUGUAGUAUAUUAUAAGAUGUUUCAUGUUUAGAUACAUGUAGUGUAUGAUAAGAUGAUUCAUGUUUAGAUAUGAUGAUGAUGAUGAUAAGAUGUUUAAUGUUUAGAUACAUGAUGAUAAGAUGUUUAAUGUUUAGAUACAUGUAAUAGUAACAUAAUGUUUAGUAAACAUGAUGAUUAGAUGUUUCAUUUUUAGAUACAUGUAGUAUAUGAUGAUAAGAUGAUUCAUGUUUAGAUACAUGAUGAUAAGAUGUUUAAUGUUUAGAUACAUGAUGAUAAGAUGUUUAAUGUUUAGAUACAUGUAGUAUAUGAUGAUAAGAUGUUUCAUGUUUAGAUACAUGAUGAUAAGAUGUUUCAUGUUUAGAUACAUGUAGUAUAUGAUGAUAAGAUGUUUCAUGUUUAGAUACAUGUAGUAUAUUAUAAGAUGUUUCAUGUUUAGAUACAUGUAGUAUAUGAUAAGAUGUUUCAUGUUUAGGUACAUGUAGUAUAUGAUAAGAUGUUUCAUGUUUAGAUACAUGUAGUAUAUGAUGAUAAGAUGUUUCAUGUUUAGAUACAUGUAGUAUAUGAUGAUAAGAUGUUUCAUGUUUAGAUACAUGUAGUAUAUUAUAAGAUGUUUCAUGUUUAGAUACAUGUAGUAUAUGAUAAGAUGUUUCAUGUUUAGGUACAUGUAGUAUAUGAUAAGAUGUUUCAUGUUUAGAUACAUGUAGUAGUAUGAGAUGAUAAGAUGUUUCAUGUUUAGAUACAUGUAGUAUAUGAUAAGAUGUUUCAUGUUUAGAUACAUGUAGUAUAUGAUAAGAUGUUUCAUGUUUAGAUACAUGUAGUAUAUGAUAAGAUGAUUCAUGUUUAGAUACAUGAUGAUAAGAUGUUUAAUGUUUAGAUACAUGAUGAUAAGAUGUUUGAUGUUUAGAUACAUGUAGUAUAUGAUGAUAAGAUGUUUCAUGUUUAGAUAUAUGUAGUAUAUGAUAAGCUGUUUCAUGUUUAGAUACAUGUAGUAUAUUAUAAGAUGUUUCAUGUUUAGAUACAUGUAGUGUAUGAUAAGAUGAUUCAUGUUUAGAUACAUGUAGUAUAUGAUGAUUAGAUGUUUCAUGUUUAGAUACAUGUAGUGUAUGAUGAUAAGAUGAUUCAUGUUUAGAUACAUGUAGUAUAUGAUGAUUAGAUGUUUCAUUUUUAGAUACAUGUAGUAUAUGAUGAUAAGAUGUUUCAUGUUUAGAUACAUGUAGUAUAUGAUGAUAAGAUGUUUCAUGUUUAGAUACAUGUAGUAUAUUAUAAGAUGUUUCAUGUUUAGAUACAUGUAGUAUAUGAUAAGAUGUUUCAUGUUUAGAUACAUGUAGUGUAUGAUAAGAUGAUUCAUGUUUAGAUACAUGUAGUAUAUGAUGAUUAGAUGUUUCAUGUUUAGAUACAUGUAGUGUAUGAUGAUUAGAUGUUUCAUUUUUAGAUACAUGUAGUAUAUGAUGAUAAGAUGAUUCAUGUUUAGAUACAUGAUGAUAAGAUGUUUAAUGUUUAGAUACAUGAUAAGAUGUUUCAUGAUAAGAUGUUUCAUGUUCAUAUACAUGAUGAUAAGAUGUUUCAUGUUUAGAUACAUGUAGAUACAUGAUGAUAGAUGUUUAAUGUUUAGAUACAUGAUAAUAAGAUGUUUAAUGGUUAGAUACAUGAU